Gallus gallus (chicken) is the source of this 1646-nucleotide long non-coding RNA. NCBI's taxonomy places the organism in Eukaryota, Metazoa, Chordata, Aves, Galliformes, Phasianidae. The record is from Ensembl.
AAUGCUUAGCAAACAUCCCACUAAGCAGACAGCUCAAGUGGGACAAAGCUUGCUAGCUGGUUCUUGUGUUAAACCCACACCAUCCUCUUUCAUGAGAGGGUGCAUUUUUUGGCUUCUGUGGCCAAACCAAAUGCAAGAAGGGCUACUAGGUCUCUGAUUUGGCUCAAACAAAUAAACUGUCUGUUACAGUGUGUCUUGUGCAUGUGGACUGUAGGAGAGGAGCACGACUUUUGGUUCUUGAUCUUUGCCUGUGAGCCAGACAUCUAAACUCCCUUCAUCAAGCUCCCAAGAUUUUUGCUUAUUUUUUAAAGGAGAGAUGUGAGUAAAACUGCCUGGAAGCUAUGCCAUGCCUUCUGAAAGGGAAGUAAGCUUUGGAAUUCAGGUUAGAGAAAGCAUAUCUUGGUUCUUUGGGGGAACGAGUCCUGCAUUUUUGUUGGUUCUCAUUUACUGCUCUUGUUUCCUGGUCACAUUUGCUCCUUUGUAGGUUGCAGGCUAUGUGUAUUUGAAUCACUGUGCCCUGAAAAAGUGAGUUUGGCAAAGAACAGCCUAUAAGAAAUGCUUAGAUCAGCUAUUGUUUGCCUUGUCCAGAGUAAGAUCUUGAAGUUCUCUAGACAGAAGCUGCACGCCUGAGCAGUUUGCUUGCAUUGGAGAGUGGAAACCAAAAUGAGGAGGCAGGUGGUGGAUGAAGGAAGCAAAGAGUGAUGCCUGGACGCGUUCCUGGGUGACCUAAUUUAGGUGUUCAUGCUCUGGCAGGGGGAUUGGACUAGAUGAUCUUUCGGGGUCCUUUCCAAUCCCUGACAUUCUGUAAUACAGAGAAACAACUUCCAGAAUUUUCCAGGGCACUCAGAGCCAAGGCCCCCUAGCUCAGCCUUCUGAGCCUGGCCCUCCUUCACCCCCCUGCACAAAAUCAGUUUUGUGAUUCCCAAGCAGUCAAAGCAUCAACGUGGAACUGAAGAGAUGGCUAUAUACAGCUUAAUGGAAAGGUGUCUGAGCCUGACAGGCCUGAUGAGACUGCAGCAGAGAUAUGGCUACAGAGCAUGUUCUUGUCUCCUGGAUACUCCCACGGCUCUUCAGAAGCACUCUGAACAGCCACAAGUAAUGCUGACUAUAGGCCACUGUUUACUUCCACUAAAUUUGGAGCUCUGGACUCCCAGAAGGAGAGAAUCCUUCUAAGGUUAAGAAGGAAAAAUGGCAUCUGUCCUAGGACUGUGGCAGUUCCUGACUCCAAGACGGCUCUUCAAGACUUUUCCCAAGACCUGCUAACUGUUGCUAAUUGCAGUGAGCCAAAAAUGCUUCUUGUCAUCACUGUCUGGAUGCUUGACAGGGCCAGGCCUGGACAACUGCUUGAGACAAUCAGUCUGAUCCAGCAAUUGGUAAUCAGUGCCUAAAAAUAACUGCACAAAUUGAAGCACCAUAGAAAGCCAUGAUUGGGACUGGUAGAGAACAUGGUUCUGCUUGCAAUUUUGCUAGUAUAGGCAACUAGAAACAAUAGUUGCCUCAACUUCUAUAUUCAUGUUUUCUCAAGGCUUCUGGCUGGUAGGAGUGAGCCUGGCUGGUCAUAACUGCAAGAUCUUGCCUGUUCUAUUUGUAGAACAGAAGAGCUGUACCAGUUAAAUUUUUUUGUUGAGAAAUAAAUAUUUCACUUC